RNAcentral lists this ribosomal RNA (253 nucleotides) under uncultured bacterium. RNAcentral's name for it is "partial 16S ribosomal RNA". It matches the Rfam family "Bacterial small subunit ribosomal RNA", at positions 524 to 776 of the family's 1533-position model. The record is from RNAcentral.
UACGUAGGGUGCAAGCGUUGUCCGGAAUUAUUGGGCGUAAAGAGUUCGUAGGCGGUCUGUCGCGUCGGCUGUGAAAACCCGAGGCUCAACCUCGGGCCUGCAGUCGAUACGGGCAAACUAGAGUACUGCAGGGGAGACUGGAAUUCCUGGUGUAGCGGUGAAAUGCGCAGAUAUCAGGAGGAACACCGGUGGCGAAGGCGGGUCUCUGGGCAGUAACUGACGCUGAGGAGCGAAAGCGUGGGGAGCGAACAGG